AUUGGUUUCACUUGAUCUCGAAUGAUCUGAAAUUGGAAACCACUACUUUUUGCAAGCUUGUUGAAAACCUAACCAAUUUGAGAGAAUUUGACUUGAGCUCUGUGAAUUUGUCCUUGGUUGCUCCUAGUUCCUUCAUGAAUUUGUCUUUUUCUUCUAAAGCUCGAGUAUUGUGGAUUGCAAGUGAACUUCGUAGAUUACAUUCAUUCAUCCACAUUGAUUUCACUUGAUCUAUCUUCUAAUUAUGAUUUGGUACUAGAUACAAUCAUGUUCAACAAACUUGUUCAAAACCUACCAAAUUUAAGAGAAGUUGAUUUGAGCUCUAUAAAUAUGUCUUUGGUUGAACCUAUUUCCUUGAUGAACUUGUCUUCUUCAUUGUCAUCUCUCCAACUCUUGAAUUGUGGAUUGCAAGGGGAAUUCCCAAGCAACUUG
This 429-nucleotide unclassified non-coding RNA is filed under the name Hevea brasiliensis (rubber tree). The record is from RNAcentral. Lineage: Eukaryota; Viridiplantae; Streptophyta; Magnoliopsida; Malpighiales; Euphorbiaceae.